GAGAUUUCGGUCUCUAGCGGCAGACGGAUGAGUAACACGUGCCUAACCUGCCUCAUAGAGGGGGAUAGCCUCCCGAAAGGGAGAUUAAUUCCUCAUAACAUCAUGCCUUUGCAUGUAAGUAUGAUCAAAGGAGCAAUCCGCUAUGAGAUGGACCCGCGGUCCAUUAGCUAGUUGGUAAGGUAAUGUUCUCACCAAGGCAAGGAAAAAUAGCCGACCUGAGAGGGUGAUCGCCCACACUGGCACUGACUCCCCGCCCAGAGGCUACGGGAGGCAGCAAGUCAGCUGUGAUUACUCGACCCAUCCAGAAU
This 308-nucleotide small RNA is filed under the name uncultured bacterium. RNAcentral's name for it is "bacterial SSU rRNA". The stretch from base 1 to 276 matches the Rfam family "Bacterial small subunit ribosomal RNA", at positions 72 to 353 of the family's 1533-position model. The record is from RNAcentral.